UACAGAGGUCCCAAGCGUUGUUCGGAUUCACUGGGCGUAAAGGGUGCGUAGGUGGUCGGGUAAGUCUGAUGUGAAAUCUCUGGGCUCAACCCAGAAAUGGCAUUGGAUACUAUCCGGCUAGAGGAGUGGAGGGGGAACUGGAAUACUUGGUGUAGCAGUGAAAUGCGUAGAUAUCAAGAGGAACACCUGCGGCGAAGGCGGGUUGCUGGGCCGACACUGACGCUGAGGCGCGAAAGCUAGGGGAGCGAACGGG
RNAcentral lists this ribosomal RNA (253 nucleotides) under uncultured bacterium. RNAcentral describes it as "partial 16S ribosomal RNA". It matches the Rfam family "Bacterial small subunit ribosomal RNA", at positions 524 to 776 of the family's 1533-position model. The record is from RNAcentral.